CUAGCCGUAAACGAUGGAUACUAGGCGUUGUGAGUAUCGACCCUCACAGUGUCGUAGCUAACGCGUUAAGUAUCCCGCCUGGGGAGUACGCGCGCAAGCGUGAAACUCAAAGGAAUUGACGGGGGCCCGCACAAGCGGUGGAGUAUGUGGUUUAAUUCGAUGCAACGCGAAGAACCUUACCAGGAUUUGACAUGUCGCGAAUCUCAGGGAAACUUGAGAGUGCCUUCGGGAGCGCGAACACAGGUGGUGC
This 250-nucleotide ribosomal RNA is filed under the name uncultured Chroococcidiopsis sp. Its description in RNAcentral is "partial 16S ribosomal RNA". It matches the Rfam family "Bacterial small subunit ribosomal RNA", at positions 796 to 1044 of the family's 1533-position model. The record is from RNAcentral. Lineage: Bacteria; Bacillati; Cyanobacteriota; Cyanophyceae; Chroococcidiopsidales; Chroococcidiopsidaceae.